Molecule: ribosomal RNA, 253 nt
Filed under: uncultured bacterium
Lineage: Bacteria
Description: partial 16S ribosomal RNA
Rfam family: Bacterial small subunit ribosomal RNA
Source: RNAcentral
UACGUAGGGGGCAAGCGUUGUCCGGAUUUAUUGGGCGUAAAGCGCACGCAGGCGGUUCAUUAGGUUUGGAGUGACAGUUCCUGGCUCAACUGGGAAAGUGCUUCGAACACUGGUGAACUUGAGGGCUUCAGAGGGACACGGAAUUCCGGGUGGAGUGGUGAAAUGCGUUGAUAUCAUCAGGAGCACCGGAGGCGAAGGCGGCUCACUGGGGGUCUUCUGACGCUGAGGAACGAAAGCCAGGGGAGCGAACGGG